CAAUAUACCGACACCCCUGGCGGCCCAUGGAAGGUCUACGGUGUGGCCCGCCGCCCCCGGCCGACGUGGUUAGCCAAAAGCCAUGUUGAAUAUGUCCAAUGUGAUGUUACAAACACAGAAGAAACAAUUUCCAAGAUUUCUUCUCUAACUGAUAUUACUCAUAUUUUCUAUGUUUCUUGGAUGGGAAAUGAAGAUUGUAGCAUGAAUGCUGUCAUGUUCCAAAACAUCCUUAAUUCAGUCAUACCAAAUGCUCCAAAUCUCCAACAUAUUUGCCUCCAAACUGGAAGCAAACACUAUAUUGGACUGUUCGAAACGGAUACACCAGAAUCACACGACACACCAUAUUCCGAGGACUUAGCUCGACUGAAGCAACCGAAUUUCUAUCAUAAUCUUGAAGACAUUCUCUUUGAAGAAACGGCGAAAAAGGGCUUAACAUGGUCGGUCCACCGGCCUGCACUAAUUUUUGGUUUCUCCCCAUGUAGCCUGAUGAAUAUUGUUAGUACUCUUUCUGUUUAUGCUGCAAUUUGCAAGCAUGAGAACAAGCCUUUAGUAUAUCCCGGAUCGAAGGCUUCGUGGAAUUGUUUCGUAGAUGCUGCAGAUGCCGAGUUGGCUGCCGAGCAUCAGAUAUGG
RNAcentral lists this long non-coding RNA (630 nucleotides) under Olea europaea (common olive). Its description in RNAcentral is "long non-coding RNA (OEUR_LNC001441)". The record is from RNAcentral. Lineage: Eukaryota; Viridiplantae; Streptophyta; Magnoliopsida; Lamiales; Oleaceae.